UGGGUGUGGUGGUGGGGGGGUGGAGGAGAGGGGAAGGGGAAGUGGGGCAGGGGAUUGGUUGGGGUUGGGGAUGGGGACAUAUUCUUCAUUUCUUCCUAUCCUGGAAAUAAUUUUGCUGUAAAACACAGAACAAGUAAAAAAAUCAUCACUUUCCCCCACAUCAUAACAAAUUUAAAAAUUCAUAAUUUUUCAUUUUUAAAUAGAUUAGUUUUCAGUUGCAAUAGGAUCAGAAACAAAUGGAAUUUAAAUUGUUGUCAUCUUCAGAAGUAUAUUCAGAUGUUGAGAAAAGAGGUACAACAAUUAGAUGUAACAAUGUUUUUGAGAUUGUA
This 329-nucleotide unclassified non-coding RNA is filed under the name Hevea brasiliensis (rubber tree). Lineage: Eukaryota; Viridiplantae; Streptophyta; Magnoliopsida; Malpighiales; Euphorbiaceae. The record is from RNAcentral.